RNAcentral lists this ribosomal RNA (537 nucleotides) under uncultured bacterium. Its description in RNAcentral is "bacterial SSU rRNA". It matches the Rfam family "Bacterial small subunit ribosomal RNA", at positions 335 to 873 of the family's 1533-position model. The record is from RNAcentral.
ACUCCUACGGGAGGCAGCAGUAGGGAAUAUUGGGCAAUGGAGGCAACUCUGACCCAGCCACGCCGCGUGCAGGAGGAAGGCGCUCUGCGUUGUAAACUGCUUUAGCAGGGGAAGAAGAUACCGAUGCGUCGGGAAUUGACGGUACCCUGAGAAUAAGCACCGGCUAACUACGUGCCAGCAGCCGCGGUAAUACGUAGGGUGCAAGCGUCGUCCGGAUUUAUUGGGUUUAAAGGGUGCGUAGGCGGUCUAUUAAGUCAGUGUUUAAAUUUUGCAGCUCAACUGUAGGUAUGGCAUUGAUACUGAUGGACUUGAAUAUUAUAGAGGUAGCUGGAAUUUAUGGUGUAGCGGUGAAAUGCAUAGAUACCAUAAGGAACACCGAUAGCGGAGGCAGGUUACCAUGUGAUUAUUGACGCUGAGGCACGAAAGUGUGGGGAUCAAACAGGAUUAGAUACCCUGGUAGUCCACACUGUAAACGAUGAUUACUAGAUGCCGGGGGCUUGCCUUCGGUGUUCAAGCGAAAGCGAUAAGUAAUCCACC